GUAACAAAGAGAGCGUUGGCAGGCAGAGAGAGAGAGAGCCGACGAGAGAAUGAAGGGCAUCCGGCGAAUAUCCGGUGAGUACUCCGGCGCGUGAGUGGUACCAAUCUAAGACUUAGAUCAUGGCAGUGAUCUCGAUUGUCCGAUCGUGCAUCGGUGAUGGUUAUGGCAGGACGAUAGACGGCGGCGAGCUUAUUGGCCGGAAAAGGGAACGACGGUGACAGAGCCUCACUUCUCUUGCUCUCUCUGGAUAACAAAAACGGGUUCUAAUAAGCGGUUUGUCAAGUGUUUACUGUUGUAUAGGGGCAACAAUGACCGGCAGCAGCGGAACAACAAAGGUUUGAAAAUGUUGGAAGGAAGGCAAAUCACCAAAUAAAUUAAAAGCCUUGCACUACUGACAAGAGAAAAUUGCUGGAAGCUUGAAGUUGAAGCUGGUAAGGUUGAAUUGACUAGCGCUCAUUGGAUUGAAGAAACAAGAAAAAUCACAAAGUCCAAUAGAAGAUGGACAUGUUAGUAUUUAUUGUCACUUUGUUUUUUUAUUCUAAUGCAACUAAGCUAUAUCAUUUGAAUCUAAGUGAAUGGAAUAGAUUGUUACAUUUAAUGCUUAAGGGUUUGUUCAUCCUUUUCAUCUACACUUCUUUUUAGAUUUUGUAUAUAGUCGAUUG
Molecule: long non-coding RNA, 662 nt
Filed under: Helianthus annuus (common sunflower)
Lineage: Eukaryota; Viridiplantae; Streptophyta; Magnoliopsida; Asterales; Asteraceae
Description: hypothetical non coding rna
Source: RNAcentral